RNAcentral lists this ribosomal RNA (770 nucleotides) under Synonchiella rotundicauda. RNAcentral describes it as "eukaryotic LSU rRNA". It matches the Rfam family "Eukaryotic large subunit ribosomal RNA", at positions 355 to 967 of the family's 3401-position model. The record is from RNAcentral. Lineage: Eukaryota; Metazoa; Nematoda; Chromadorea; Chromadorida; Selachinematidae.
GAGGGAAAGUUGCAAAGAACUUUGAAGAGAGAGUUCAAGAGGGCGUGAAACCGCUUGGAAGCAAACGGGUGGAGCUGAAGGUAGUCAGCUGGAUUCAGCCUGGGGCUGCGAGUGCUGGUUGGCGUGUGAUUUUAAAGCGCCUGAUUUGGCUAGUUGUCGCUCUUUGGGUGCAUUUCCGGCUGAUGCACAUCAAGGGCAGUGGUUCUACUGUGGAAAGCACGCUAAAGAGGGCCUGGUCUUUGACUGGGUGUCCUAGAGUUGGCUGACCUCUAGUUGGGUCUACUGUAAGACCAGUACCCGAUUUUGUCUUGGUAUUGCUUGAUCUUUGGAUUUUAUGCUGCGUCCCUGCUUGCUGUAGGGCUGGGUAUUGGUUGUUCUGAUGCUGAUUGUGAGAUCUGAGCUGGUACGACCUUGGUGUUUAUUGUCAGUUUCCCACCUGACCCGUCUUGAAACACGGACCAAGGAGUCUAACAUAUGCGCGAGUUAGUGGGUAGCAAACCCAAAGGCGAAAUGAAGGUGAAGGCUUGCUGAUAUGGGAUCCCAGUUUAGCUGGGCGCACCAUAUUCCCGGCCUAUCUGCAUUGUCAGUUGGUCGGCGAAAGAGCGUAUGUGUUGGGACCCGAAAGAUGGUGAACUAUGCCUGAGCAGGAUGAAGCCAGAGGAAACUCUGGUGGAGGUCCAUAGCGGUUCUGACGUGCAAAUCGAUCGUCAGACUUGGGUAUAGGGGCGAAAGACUAAUCGAACCAUCUAGUAGCUGGUUUCCUUCGCAAA